ACAACUGAAAAACGGCCUUCUUCUGCAUUUUCCAAGCUUCCCAUAGCGAGACCCAAAAAAUUUCUAACCAUGAAAACUCUAUAAAUCAAGCUCCAUCGUCAAAAUCAGGGGAAAAACCUUGAAACCAAUUGUUUUCCUCCAUGGAACCUAGCUGAAAAGCUGUUCAAAAACUACCCAAAAACAGUCCCUAAACCACCAAAUCAUCACCCCAAUAACCAGUAAAAAGCAACCACGAAUAGCUCAUUUUCAAUCUGUUUUAUCGCCGAGUUUUCCAGAUUUUUCGGUGAGUUUGGAGGUCCGUGGAUUCCGGCGAAGUUUUCUGCACAAAGAUUCAGAUACUUUUUAUCAACCCCGUUACUAGCUGAGAGUGCUUGUUGCUGUCCGGAGACUUCAAGAUCCAUGUACUUCUUAUCAACCCCGCUACUAGUUGAGAGUGCUUGUUGAUGUACGGAGACUUUAAGGUAUAUCUGCCGCGUCCGCAGACCUCGGAGUCCCCCUCUAUUCCCUCAUAUGUC
Nicotiana tabacum (common tobacco) is the source of this 515-nucleotide non-coding RNA. Lineage: Eukaryota; Viridiplantae; Streptophyta; Magnoliopsida; Solanales; Solanaceae. The record is from RefSeq and is a predicted model, not a curated record.